CUGUAUGAGAGUUAUAUAAAGUCUGGCCUGCCCAUUGGGAACUAAAAGGCCGCGGUAUUGUGACCGUGCGAAGGUAGCAUAAUCAUUAGUCUUUUAAUUGGAGGCUGGAAUGAAUGGCUGGACGAGAAGUAAGCUGUCUUUAUCUCAGAAGUUGAAUUUAACUUUUAAGUGAAAAGGCUUAAAUGAAUUAGAGGGACGAUAAGACCCUAUAAAGUUUAAACACUGAGUUAGUUAAGAGUGAUUUAGAGUAGUAAGGUUUAUUAUUAGUUAGGUGUUUGGUUGGGGCGACUAGAAUAUAAGUUAUAUAACUGUUUUUUAUUUGAAUCAGAGAUAUCUGUUCACAUGAUCCCUUUUUAGGAUUAAAGAGUAAAUUACUUUAGGGAUAACAGCGUAAUUUUUUUUGAGAGUUCUUAUCGACAAAAGAGUUUGCGACCUCGAUGUUGAAUUAAAAUUUCUUUGUGGCGUAGCAGUUACAAAAGAAGGUCUGUUCGACCU
This 495-nucleotide ribosomal RNA is filed under the name Cherax subterigneus. RNAcentral's name for it is "partial 16S ribosomal RNA". It matches the Rfam family "Bacterial large subunit ribosomal RNA", at positions 1831 to 2587 of the family's 2925-position model. The record is from RNAcentral. Lineage: Eukaryota; Metazoa; Arthropoda; Malacostraca; Decapoda; Parastacidae.